AAAAUUCUAACUUUCGGCAUUUCUAGCAUAAAUGAGCUACGGACAUCCAAAAUAUAUUCCGGACACGCUCCCAACCCCGAAAUCACCUAAAAGAGCUAACGGAACCAUCAGAUUUUCAUUCCGAGGUUGUAUUGACACUGUUCUGAUUACGGACCAUUUUUCAACACUUAAGCUUUCAUUUAGGGACUAAGUGUCCCAAAACACUCCGAAUUCUAUUACCGAACAUCCCGGCAAACAAAAAUAGCAGAAAUGAACAUAGGGGAACCCAUUAAUGGGGAAAUGGGGCAUGAAUUCCAAAGAUGACUGGUCGGGUCGUCACAUCCUCCUACACCUAAACAUUCGUUCGUCCUCGAACGAGCAUAGAGAACAUACCUGAAGUAGCAAAAAGAUGAGGGUAUUGGCUGCACAUAUCCCGCUCGGCCUCCCAAGUCGCCUCCUUGCCUGGCUGGUUGACCCCACCACUGAACCUUUACUGAAGUUGUAUCCUUUGACCUAAGCUUCCGAACCUGCCUAUCCAAUAUUGCCACUGGCUCCUCAACAUAGGACAAGUGAUUGUCCUACUGGACUGAAGUGAACUCCAACACGUGAGACGGGUCACCGUGAUACCUCCGAAGCAUCGAAACAUGAAAUACUGGAUGAACCUCGGCCAAAUUGGGAGGUAAAGCAAGCUCGUAAGCAACUUUCCAACCUUCUUCAAAAUCUCAAAUGGACCAAUGAACCUCGGGCUCAACUUCCCUUUCUUUCCAAACCACAUGACGCCUUUCAUAGGCGAGACCUGGAGCAAACCCUGCUCACCAACCAUAAAGGAAACAUCACAAACCUUUCGGUCCGCAUAGCUCUUCUGUCUGGACUGGGCUGUAUAGAGUCUGUCCUGAAUCACUUUGACCUUCUCAACCGCAUCCUGAACCAAAUCCCAAUAGUCUGACCUCGCCCGGCUCGAACCAACCCACCGAGGAUCUGUAUCUCAUACCAUAUAAGGCCUCAUAAGGCUCCAUCUGAAUAC
RNAcentral lists this long non-coding RNA (1003 nucleotides) under Nicotiana benthamiana. Its description in RNAcentral is "long non-coding RNA (NBEN_LNC038160)". The record is from RNAcentral. Lineage: Eukaryota; Viridiplantae; Streptophyta; Magnoliopsida; Solanales; Solanaceae.